AUUUAAGUAGUUUAUAUAAAAAUAAGGUUCUGUGGAUUCCUAGAAGAUUACGUAUCCUUAAGUU
This 64-nucleotide transfer RNA is filed under the name Iassus dorsalis. RNAcentral describes it as "tRNA-His". The record is from RNAcentral. Lineage: Eukaryota; Metazoa; Arthropoda; Insecta; Hemiptera; Cicadellidae.